This 207-nucleotide ribosomal RNA is filed under the name uncultured bacterium. Its description in RNAcentral is "partial 16S ribosomal RNA". It matches the Rfam family "Bacterial small subunit ribosomal RNA", at positions 568 to 774 of the family's 1533-position model. The record is from RNAcentral.
CACGUAGGCGGACUGGAAAGUUGGAGGUGAAAUCCCAGGGCUCAACCUUGGAACUGCCUUCAAAACUAUCAGUCUGGAGUUCGAGAGAGGUGAGUGGAAUUCCGAGUGUAGAGGUGAAAUUCGUAGAUAUUCGGAGGAACACCAGUGGCGAAGGCGGCCCACUGGCUCGAUACUGACGCUGAGGCGCGAAAGCUAGGGGAGCGAACA